CUCUCCCCCGUGCCUCCCUCCCCCUCGCACCACACUUCUCGCCGCCACCACCACCGACGGGCCAGUUUCCACCAGAUCCCGCCCGAUUCCGGCGUCCUCCAGCAGCGCCCAACCCACCACCAUGACCCCCUUCCUCCGCUCCUUCCUCCCACCGGGCUAGAUCCGGCGCGCGCGUCCUCGAGCGGCCAAGCGCAACCCUGCCCAGCGGCUAGGGUUGUGGGCAGCACGUCGUCGUCGUGGUUUCGGUGACUCAGAUCUAACCCUCCUCACAUGUCACCCCCGAUUCGUACCUCGUGGGGAGUCCUGCACCUGUACUUCUCGUCUAGGGUUAGGAUGGCAGCACAACACCGCCGUGGAUUCAGGGUUGGAGCCCGAGCGUGGCCCGGACAUGCAAAACAUGGAGCCCCGCAUGGAUCUUUCGUCGAUCUGGCUGUUAUGGUCAGGACAACCUCCCAAGUUAGAUCUGCGAGGCUCGGUCACAUGCCACCCAGGUACAACAGGAAUGCAAAUUGGAGGUCAAUGUUGAGGAAUAUGUUGAAUCAACUUGUAAACCCUACCUGAUGGACAUCAUAUACUGCUGGUCAAAGGGCGCCACCUUCGGAGAGGUGACAGAAAAGACUGACAUUUUUGAAGGAAGCAUCAUACGUCUAGUUAGUAGGCUGGAUGAAUUUCUGAAUCAGCUAAACCACCUGUUGGUUCCGGGGACUAGUAAUAAAAUCACAUGGAUAGAGAGUGUCUGUCUUUGAUUAUC
Long non-coding RNA from Triticum dicoccoides, 751 nucleotides. RefSeq lists it as uncharacterized. The record is from RefSeq and is a predicted model, not a curated record. The transcript is spliced from 4 exons. NCBI's taxonomy places the organism in Eukaryota, Viridiplantae, Streptophyta, Magnoliopsida, Poales, Poaceae.